UACGGGGGGGGCAAGCGUUGUUCGGAAUUACUGGGCGUAAAGGGCGCGUAGGCGGCCUGCUAAGUCGGACGUGAAAUCCCUCGGCUCAACCGAGGAACUGCGUCCGAUACUGGUGGGCUUGAAUCCGGGAGAGGGAUGUGGAAUUCCAGGUGUAGCGGUGAAAUGCGUAGAUAUCUGGAGGAACACCGGUGGCGAAGGCGGCAUCCUGGACCGGCAUUGACGCUGAGGCGCGAAAGCUAGGGGAGCAAACGGG
This 253-nucleotide ribosomal RNA is filed under the name uncultured bacterium. Its description in RNAcentral is "partial 16S ribosomal RNA". It matches the Rfam family "Bacterial small subunit ribosomal RNA", at positions 524 to 776 of the family's 1533-position model. The record is from RNAcentral.